CCUACGGGUGGCAGCAGUGAGGAAUAUUGGUCAAUGGCCGGAAGGCUGAACCAGCCAUGCCGCGUGAAGGUCAGUGCCCUAUGGGCGUUAAACUUCUUUUGUGCGGGAGCAAUAAUGGUCACGUGUGGCCAGACGAUAGUACCGUAAGACUAAGCAUCGGCUAACUCCGUGCCAGCAGCCGCGGUAAUACGGGGGAUGCAAGCGUUAUCCGGAUUUAUUGUGUUUAAAGGGUGCGUAGGCUGUGAGGUAAGUCAGCGGUGAAAUGCCCCCGCUCAACGGGGUGAAGUGCCAUGGAUACUGCCUUGCUGGAAUGCGGAUGCGGUGGGAGGAAUGUGUGGUGUAGCGGUGAAAUGCAUAGAUAUCACACAGAACACCGAUUGCGAAGGCAUCUCACGAAUCCGCGAUUGACGCUGAUGCACGAAAGCGUGGGUAUCAAACAGGAUUAGAUACCCCGGUAGUC
RNAcentral lists this ribosomal RNA (460 nucleotides) under uncultured bacterium. RNAcentral describes it as "partial 16S ribosomal RNA". It matches the Rfam family "Bacterial small subunit ribosomal RNA", at positions 338 to 795 of the family's 1533-position model. The record is from RNAcentral.